This 520-nucleotide unclassified non-coding RNA is filed under the name uncultured Glomus. RNAcentral's name for it is "SSU rRNA". It matches the Rfam family "Eukaryotic small subunit ribosomal RNA", at positions 569 to 1090 of the family's 1831-position model. The record is from RNAcentral. Lineage: Eukaryota; Fungi; Glomeromycota; Glomeromycetes; Glomerales; Glomeraceae.
AGCAGCCGCGGUAAUUCCAGCUCCAAUAGCGUAUAUUAAAGUUGUUGCAGUUAAAAAGCUCGUAGUUGAAUUUCGAGAUCAAAUUGUUGGUCGUGCCUUGGUACGCACUGGCAUUAUUGGUUUCUCCCUGCUGACGAAUCAUGAUGUCAUUAAUUUGGUGUCUUGGGGAAUCAGGACUGUUACUUUGAAAAAAUUUAGAGUGUUUAAAGCAGGCUCACGCUUGAAUACAUUAGCAUGGAAUAAUGAAAUAGGACGUUUGAUUCUAUUUUGUUGGUUUCUAGGAUCGACGUAAUGAUUAAUAGGGAUAGUUGGGGGCAUUAGUAUUCAAUUGUCAGAGGUGAAAUUCUUGGAUUUAUUGAAGACUAACUACUGCGAAAGCAUUUGCCAAGGAUGUUUUCAUUAAUCAAGAACGAAAGUUAGGGGAUCGAAGACGAUCAGAUACCGUCGUAGUCUUAACCAUAAACUAUGCCGACUAGGGAUCGGAUGAUGUUAAUUUUUUAAUGACUCAUUCGGCGCCUUA